CCUACGGGAGGCUGCAGUGGGGAAUAUUGGACAAUGGGGGGAACCCUGAUCCAGCCAUGCCGCGUGUGUGAAGAAGGCCCUCGGGUUGUAAAGCACUUUCAGUGAGGAAGAACGCCUGGUGGUUAAUACCCAUCAGGAAAGACAUCACUCACAGAAGAAGCACCGGCUAACUCCGUGCCAGCAGCCGCGGUAAUACGGAGGGUGCGAGCGUUAAUCGGAAUUACUGGGCGUAAAGCGCGCGUAGGUGGCUUGAUAAGCCGGUUGUGAAAGCCCCGGGCUCAACCUGGGAACGGCAUCCGGAACUGUCAAGCUAGUGUGCAGGAGAGGAAGGUAGAAUUCCCGGUGUAGCGGUGAAAUGCGUAGAGAUCGGGAGGAAUACCAGUGGCGAAGGCGGCCUUCUGGACUGACACUGACACUGAGGUGCGAAAGCGUGGGUAGCAAACAGGAUUAGAUACCCUAGUAGUC
Molecule: ribosomal RNA, 465 nt
Filed under: Vreelandella stevensii
Lineage: Bacteria; Pseudomonadati; Pseudomonadota; Gammaproteobacteria; Oceanospirillales; Halomonadaceae
Description: partial 16S ribosomal RNA
Rfam family: Bacterial small subunit ribosomal RNA
Source: RNAcentral